This 791-nucleotide ribosomal RNA is filed under the name Megacoelomyces sancheziae. RNAcentral describes it as "Megacoelomyces sanchezii partial large subunit ribosomal RNA". It matches the Rfam family "Eukaryotic large subunit ribosomal RNA", at positions 46 to 857 of the family's 3401-position model. The record is from RNAcentral. Lineage: Eukaryota; Fungi; Ascomycota; Dothideomycetes; Pleosporales; Phaeosphaeriaceae.
AUAAGCGGAGGAAAAGAAACCAACAGGGAUUGCCCUAGUAACGGCGAGUGAAGCGGCAACAGCUCAAAUUUGAAAUCUGGCUCUUUUAGAGUCCGAGUUGUAAUUUGCAGAGAGUGCUUUGGUGUUGGCAGCGGUCUAAGUUCUUUGGAACAGGACGUCACAGAGGGUGAGAAUCCCGUACGUGGUCGCUGGCCUUCACCGUGUAAAGCCUCUUCGACGAGUCGAGUUGUUUGGGAAUGCAGCUCUAAAUGGGAGGUAAAUUUCUUCUAAAGCUAAAUACCGGCUAGAGACCGAUAGCGCACAAGUAGAGUGAUCGAAAGAUGAAAAGCACUUUGGAAAGAGAGUUAAACAGCACGUGAAAUUGUUGAAAGGGAAGCGCUUGCAGCCAGACUUGCCUGUAGUUGCUUAUCUGGACUUUUGUCCAGUGCACUCUUCUACGGGCAGGCCAGCAUCAGUCCGGGCGGUUGGAUAAAGGUCUCUGUCAUGUACCUCCUUUCGGGGAGGCCUUAUAGGGGAGACGACAUGCAACCAGCCUGGACUGAGGUCUGCGCAUCUGCUAGGAUGCUGGCGUAAUGGCUGUAAGCGGCCCGUCUUGAAACACGGACCAAGGAGUCUAACAUCUAUGCGAGUGUUUGGGUGUCAAGCCCAGACGCGUAAUGAAAGUGAACGGAGGUGGGAACCUUAGGGUGCACCAUCGACCGAUCCUGAUGUCUUCGGAUGGAUUUGAGUAAGAGCAUGGCUGUUGGGACCCGAAAGAUGGUGAACUAUGCUUGAAUAGGGUGAAGCCAGAG